Molecule: unclassified non-coding RNA, 279 nt
Filed under: Hevea brasiliensis (rubber tree)
Lineage: Eukaryota; Viridiplantae; Streptophyta; Magnoliopsida; Malpighiales; Euphorbiaceae
Source: RNAcentral
AAAAAAGUGUGGGGGUCACUGGCAGAUUUCAAUGUGAAAUAUGGUUGAUUAUAACUUAGUACUUAUGAAAUCUGUACCUAGAAGUUGCUUAAGUUAAAUAAUGGACCAGAAAAGUUUGGCAGUUUCAGGUGUAAGAUCCUUAUAAACUCCACGUAUUAAUGAACAAUGAGUAUACAUUAGAAACUUUGUAAUUCUGUUUCAUUAACUGUGGGGACUCAAUAUACUCCAUUUCGUGUUUUCCUUUUGUCCCUUGUUUCCUAAAAGCAGUUUAUAGUCAAA